This 254-nucleotide ribosomal RNA is filed under the name uncultured bacterium. RNAcentral's name for it is "partial 16S ribosomal RNA". It matches the Rfam family "Bacterial small subunit ribosomal RNA", at positions 524 to 776 of the family's 1533-position model. The record is from RNAcentral.
UACGUAGGGGGCAAGCGUUGUCCGGAUUUAUUGGGCGUAAAAGGCUUGUAGGUGGCCACGCCAAGUCGGAUGUGAAAUCUCCCGGCUCAACUGGGAGGGGUCAUUCGAUACUGGCGGGCUCGAGGCCGGUAGGGGGAAGUGGAAUUCCCGGUGUAGUGGUGGAAUGCGUAGAUAUCUGGAGGAACACCGGUGGCGAAGGCGGCAUCCUGGACCGACACUGACGCUGAGGAGCGAAAGCCAGGGGAGCAAACGGG